This 131-nucleotide small nucleolar RNA is filed under the name Moschus moschiferus (Siberian musk deer). RNAcentral describes it as "Small nucleolar RNA SNORA70 (ENSMMSG00000009922.1)". It matches the Rfam family "Small nucleolar RNA SNORA70". Rfam says of the family: snoRNA U70 seems to be exclusive to mammals and is a member of the H/ACA class of snoRNA which contain H (ANANNA) and ACA box motifs. The record is from Rfam by way of RNAcentral. Lineage: Eukaryota; Metazoa; Chordata; Mammalia; Artiodactyla; Moschidae.
GUUCAUUUAAAAUGAAAAUUGUCUUUUCCCCAUGGGGGCCCAGUGUGCAAUGGCUGCCAACAGCAGCCUCCUUGGUAGUGUAUGCAACUUGUUGCCUGUACAGGUUGCCCUAAGGGACCUUGGAGACAACU